This is a long non-coding RNA of Miniopterus natalensis, 421 nucleotides long. RefSeq lists it as uncharacterized. NCBI's taxonomy places the organism in Eukaryota, Metazoa, Chordata, Mammalia, Chiroptera, Miniopteridae. The record is from RefSeq and is a predicted model, not a curated record.
GGGUCUUGGACAGUGUCCUAACUGUUCCUGGGCAGGUGUCCUCACCAUGGCCUUUUCUUAAAGGACCAGAUAGUAAAAUACUAAGUAUUUCUGGCUUUCUGGGCCACAGGGUCCCUGUGACAGCGACUCAGCUUUGCUCCUGUAGAACAAAAUUAGACACAGACACUAUUUGAAUGGACAGGUGUGGCUGUGUUCCAAUAAAACUUUAUUUACAAAACAGGCAGCCUCCAGAUUUGGCCCCAGGAGCUGUAGCUCCCUGGCCCCUGCUGUAGGUGUGAAAUGUCAUUCUGUCCGGCUGCUGUAACAGAGGCCACAUUCACUUCUCAGUUCUGGAGACUGGAAGUCCAGGACGAAGGUGCCAGCAGGGAACAUGUGUUAUUGUUUCCUGUAAAAUAGCAACAAAAUAUAUGAAGUGAAGGGA